This is a long non-coding RNA of Diceros bicornis minor, 1331 nucleotides long. RefSeq lists it as uncharacterized. The transcript is spliced from 3 exons. The record is from RefSeq and is a predicted model, not a curated record. Lineage: Eukaryota; Metazoa; Chordata; Mammalia; Perissodactyla; Rhinocerotidae.
GGCCUUUAAAUUGUUACUAACUGCUAUUGUUAGUUAUUUUUUGAUAUAGUCAUGUUUUCUUACUUGAGCUGGGCUUCUUUGAAGGGAAAGGGAACACAUCUUACAUUUAUUUCACUCCCUCUCAAUGUGUAACAGAAACCUCGUGCACAGGUUUGAUAUAUGGAGGUGCACACAUAGCAGGGCAUUCGUUUGAACACGCACAUUAACUAUGUCUCGUCUACAAUGAGAAAUAUAAGACAACAGCUGAGACGGCUGCCAUUAAUCUUAAGUAAGAUUUAUUAUGGUGUCAAAUUAGAUUCUAAAUUUCUAUUCUCUAAGAAAUUAGAAAAUGAGUGAGAUAUCACCUCAAAGGGCAUUUUUUAUAUUUUAUGAUGUACAUUUCCUUUUACAGUAGUCUCCUUAUCAGCUGUCUGCUAAUCAUGUGUCUCUCAAAGUUAUUCAGACACAAGUUGAUUGUUAUGAUUAGAUUAAGCAAAUCUUUUUUUCAGCAGUGCCUUUUCCUUGCUGCAACAGAGGAGAUGAACUGGGAGAAAGGAUAACGGGCGAAACUUGAAGCACGUGCCAUUUUAGAAAGACGGGUAAAUAGGUGAGGAAACCAUAACUAACCUUUGUCUGAAAUCCUGGAAUUAUUGAGCUGUGUGACCUUGUCACUUUCCUCAUUGAAUAUGGGGUCUAUGAACUCAUGGAUCCAUGAACCCAGGUGGACCUUUGUGACUAUCUCAACCCACAGAGCACAGAAGAAGUGACUUUAUACGACUUCUGAGACUAGAUUAUAAGUGUCGUGCAUUUCUGCCUUGUGCCUUGAGGAUACUCACUUUUGCAACCCAGUCACCAUGCUGUAAAGAAGCCUAAACAGUUCCUGGAGAGACCUCAGGUACCACAAAGCCUCACCUGAGAUCUCAGCUGACAGCCAGCGUCAACCACUGGAAAUAUGAGUGAGCAAGCCUUCAAAUGAUUCCAGCCUCCAGCCAUCAAGUCACCCUCAGGCUUCGAAUCUUCUCAGCUGAGGCUCCAGACAUCAUGGAACAGAGACAAGGCAUCCCCACUGAGCCCUUUCCCAAUUUCUGAUGCACAGAACCCAUAAACAGUAAAAUGGAUGUUAUUCCUACCACUAUGAUCAGGCUGGUUUGCUACUCAACCAGAGUAGCUGGAACAGGUCAUCACUGGAGAAGAAAAUGAGGAAUGAGACCUGGAAGAGUCCUAACUCAUUAAGAUUUGACAAAGGUAGGUAACAGACACGUGGAUUUUUUUUGUACUAUUCUUUACAGUUUACCUUCUAGUCUUUAAAUAUUUUUAAAUAAAUGUAGAAAACAAUGCAUGUCCUAGAAACU